GAAAAUAUAUCUUUUUGCAAACAUCAUGUAAUAUUGUUUGAGCUCUCUUAUGUUGAAAGGCCUUCAUCAGCGGGUGUGAAAAGGGAUAACCGAUGUCCUUUAAUAGGCCAAUGUUUAGGUUGUCCAGGAGGGUGAUCAAUUUGGUUAUAUGUCAAGAAGGGCUCGAAUGUGGCAUUUAACCAGAGUUGAAGAAGCCAGAAAGGGCCUACCAGUAGAAGGGUACCUUUGGAGUUC
This 234-nucleotide long non-coding RNA is filed under the name Lathyrus oleraceus (garden pea). Its description in RNAcentral is "Pisum sativum (pea) long non-coding RNA (PSAT_LNC003847)". The record is from RNAcentral. Lineage: Eukaryota; Viridiplantae; Streptophyta; Magnoliopsida; Fabales; Fabaceae.